This 550-nucleotide unclassified non-coding RNA is filed under the name Drosophila yakuba. RNAcentral describes it as "GE19070". The record is from RNAcentral. Lineage: Eukaryota; Metazoa; Arthropoda; Insecta; Diptera; Drosophilidae.
CAAACUAUUUUUAAAAUAUUUAUAAAGAGGUCCUCAAAAUGAUGCACUAUCGCAAGGCCGAGAAUGUGGAGCAGGAGCUGAGCAAGAGCGAUCUGCCAUUCGAGGACUGCAUGCCAAAGUCCCAAAAGGAUUUUUUGUGGAUGCACGUGAAAGGCGGCACCAAAGUGAGCAAUGUGAUUGAGUUUGCUCAGGCAGCGCUAAACAAGGGCGAACACAGAUGCGUGGUGUGGAGCGGAUCCGGCGGCGGAGUGGUGAAGACCAUAUCAUGUGCCGAGGUCCUCAAACGGAGCCACCCUGUCUACCAGGUGACGCGCAUGGCGUACACCAGUAUACUACAUAAAGCGUGGAGGAGCACUGGAAGCCACAGAUGGAAGGCCUCGAGGAGAUUAUAGUCACCCGCCAAAUACCCACGCUGCACAUUCUCAUGAGUCUGGACCAGCUGCCGGAUAGUAUAGACGGUUUACAAAAGCCAAAUAGACCCACUGAUUUCUGGGAGGGCGGAGGAACACAGCCACAGCCACGUCCACAUCCACGUACCCAGGCCCCCCAU